UCCUACGGGGGGCAGCAGUGGGGAAUAUUGGGCAAUGGGCGCAAGCCUGACCCAGCAACGCCGCGUGAAGGAAGAAGGCUUUCGGGUUGUAAACUUCUUUUCUUGGGGACGAAGAAAGUGACGGUACCCAAGGAAUAAGCCCCGGCUAACUACGUGCCAGCAGCCGCGGUAAUACGUAGGGGGCAAGCGUUAUCCGGAUUUACUGGGUGUAAAGGGAGCGUAGGCGGUAAUGCAAGUCAGAAGUGAAAGCCCGGGGCUCAACUCCGGGACUGCUUUUGAAACUGUGUUACUAGAUUGCAGGAGAG
Molecule: ribosomal RNA, 305 nt
Filed under: uncultured bacterium
Lineage: Bacteria
Description: bacterial SSU rRNA
Rfam family: Bacterial small subunit ribosomal RNA
Source: RNAcentral